This 214-nucleotide long non-coding RNA is filed under the name Elaeis guineensis (African oil palm). RNAcentral's name for it is "long non-coding RNA (EGUI_LNC043004)". Lineage: Eukaryota; Viridiplantae; Streptophyta; Magnoliopsida; Arecales; Arecaceae. The record is from RNAcentral.
CUUUUUGAUAACAUCAAUUAAGAUCUUAAGAGAUUUUUAAAGAAAAAUAAAAAAGACUCCCCCUCACUAUAGCAAUCAUAAAGAAUAUUUUAAUUUGCUCAUAUAGAAGAUAUGGCCAUUCAUAAUAUUUUAUAACACAUAUAUGAGGUAUUUUUCAUAUCACAAAAUUAAGAUAUUUCAAUUGAUGCCAUUCAUAAAAAUCAAUCCAAAUGAC